Molecule: transfer RNA, 60 nt
Filed under: Parantica sita
Lineage: Eukaryota; Metazoa; Arthropoda; Insecta; Lepidoptera; Nymphalidae
Also listed under: 1 other name
Description: tRNA-Ser
Source: RNAcentral
GAAAUAUCUCAUAUUAAGCUUCUAACUUAAUUCUUAGUGAUUAAAUUCAUUAAUAUUUCU